GAGUAUAGUUGAAAUACAUGGUUAGUAGACUUUGCCAAUGACAUGGACUUUGGAAACUUGACAAACAAAUUGUAAACAAGGAAAACAAAAGGAGCAACAUAUUAAUCUUUAAAGCCCAGGAAACCCUUUAAAUUAGAAAAUGUGAAAUCCACAAAACACAAAACUUUGUGCAGGAAAGAGAAGCAAGGGAAGAACAUAGGCCAAAGUAAGGAGAAGAUUACCAAGUCCUGAUCCAAAAUGACAGCAUUGCCAUUAACGCAGAGUUCUUCAAUAUACACUGUCAAAACCACGGGAAUGGGUCAGUAAUCCUCCAUGAGAAUGUUCCCUAAUACAGUGAAAGCAAAACCAUACUUCUAAGUGAAGUAUUUAUCAUCAAAAUCAUGCAAUUCUAUGGUGACAAUGGACUAGUAGAGGAGGUAAUGCUCUAUUUUCACAAUUGGACCUAAAAGUGUGCUAUUUUUCAAAAUCAAGUGCUGGUAAAUACAAAAAUAUUGAUGCAAAAAUCAUGGGGUUUUUUGAGAAAGAGAAGAGAUAAGAUAUGAAUAUUAUCUGCCAAUUCAUGGAAACACAUAAGUUGUGUUGGGAAUGAAAAUGACAGAAGACUGAGUAGCAACACUAUUGUGUGUUGAAACAUAUCAAGAAUG
Molecule: long non-coding RNA, 644 nt
Filed under: Lupinus angustifolius (narrow-leaved blue lupine)
Lineage: Eukaryota; Viridiplantae; Streptophyta; Magnoliopsida; Fabales; Fabaceae
Description: long non-coding RNA (LANG_LNC003285)
Source: RNAcentral